CCUACGGGUGGCAGCAGUGGGGAAUAUUGCGCAAUGGGCGCAAGCCUGACGCAGCGACGCCGCGUGAGGGAUGAAGGUCUUCGGAUCGUAAACCUCUUUCAGCAGGGAAGAACGGUCACUGUGCUAAUCAGCAUUGAAUUUACGGUACCUGCAAAGGACGCACCGGCUAACUCCGUGCCAGCAGCCGCGGUAAUACGUUGGUGGCGAGCGUUAAUCGGAAUUACUGGGCGUAAGGCGCUCGUAGGCGGUAUGUCAAGUCAAGGGUGAAAUCCCCGGGCUCAACGUGGGAACUGCCUUUGAAACUGGGCAACUGGAGUGUUGGAGAGGAUAGUGGAAUUCCAGGUGUAGGAGUGAAAUCCGUAGAUAUCAGGAGGAACAUCAGUGGCGAAGGCGACUAUCUGGCACAUAACUGACGCUGAGGAGCGAAAGCGUGGGUAGCAAACAGGAUUAGAUACCCGGGUAGUC
RNAcentral lists this ribosomal RNA (465 nucleotides) under uncultured bacterium. RNAcentral describes it as "partial 16S ribosomal RNA". It matches the Rfam family "Bacterial small subunit ribosomal RNA", at positions 338 to 795 of the family's 1533-position model. The record is from RNAcentral.